CCUACGGGUGGCAGCAGUGGGGAAUAUUGCACAAUGGGGGAAACCCUGAUGCAGCGACGCCGCGUGCGUGAAGAAGUAAUUCGUUAUGUAAAGCUCUAUCAGCAGGUAAGAAAAUGACGGUACCUGAGUAAGAAGCCCCGGCUAACUACGUGCCAGCAGCCGCGGUAAAACGUAGGGGGCAAGCGUUAUCCGGAUUUACUGGGGGUAAAGGGAGCGUAGACGGCAGUGCAAGUCUGGAGUGAAAGGCGGGGGCGCAACCCCCGGACUGCUCUGGAAACUGUACGGCUGAAGUGCAGGAGAGGUAAGUGGAAUUCCUAGUGUAGCGGUGAAAUACGUAGAUAUUAGGAGGAACACCAGUGGCGAAGGCGGCUUACUGGACUGUAACUGACGUUGAGGCUCGAAAGCGUGGGGAGCAAACAGGAUUAGAUACCCGUGUAGUC
RNAcentral lists this ribosomal RNA (440 nucleotides) under uncultured bacterium. Its description in RNAcentral is "partial 16S ribosomal RNA". It matches the Rfam family "Bacterial small subunit ribosomal RNA", at positions 338 to 795 of the family's 1533-position model. The record is from RNAcentral.